CAACUCACCCCUUCCCUGGACAGAUUCUACCUGGCAUGCUUUGCCCCCAAAGCUCUCCCUCUUCCCAGAGUGAUGCACAGAUCAGAACCACCAACGGCAGAAGGUCUGGGAAGCCUGAGGAGUGGUAAGACUGGAAACGUGCAAAGAAAAAAUGGUAAAAAAUCUAUCAAAGAAUGCAAGGACAACAGUAAGACACAGGACCCCCCAUCUCUAAGAACACCUUUUGCCGGCUACCAUUCCGAGAGGAAAACGAGUAUAAAAGCAGGACUGAGUUUUUCUGAAAUUGUCAACACAGGGUUGGUAAUACAUAUUAAGCAGGACCUGGUG
This 327-nucleotide long non-coding RNA is filed under the name Homo sapiens (human). RNAcentral describes it as "HSALNT0269005". The record is from RNAcentral. Lineage: Eukaryota; Metazoa; Chordata; Mammalia; Primates; Hominidae.